This is a long non-coding RNA of Mobula hypostoma (lesser devil ray), 542 nucleotides long. RefSeq lists it as uncharacterized. The record is from RefSeq and is a predicted model, not a curated record. Lineage: Eukaryota; Metazoa; Chordata; Chondrichthyes; Myliobatiformes; Myliobatidae. The transcript is spliced from 3 exons.
ACUGUAUUUCAGAAUAUAUUACAUAUCAGUUAGUUUUAGCAAUGUAAUAAAUUUUACUAUUUUACAGGAAGUUUUCUACUUCUGACUUCUACAGGAAUGGGAUUCCAAACCUUUUCCGGUCAAAGCACGUGUCGUCAUUAAAACAGCUGGUGCCUUCUCUAAGCUGAGUAUUAUUCCAAAUUGGAUUUGAUCUGGAGGAAACCAUAUACGUGGGUAAAGAAGAGCAAUUGGGUGAUAACAGAAUCAUAUUCCAAGCUGACUUGACACAACAGCUCAGUGAGAGCAGUUUGAUGGAUAUUCAAGAAGAAGACAAAAAGGUCCAAAUCCUCAAGAAUCCAGACUUCACUAACUUAAAUAUGUCCUUAGAAAUUCGGAAAGUCUGGUAAAUGAGGUUUGACACCGAAAUGAACUCUUCUUUUUUGACAGUGGAGAAAAGUAAGCAAAUGUUCUUGGUGUUUUAAUUAUUACAUAAAACACCCAUUACCCAUUCAUUACCUCAGAACUGCUUUUAGCUUCUGCAUGAUGACUGCUUUGUUUACCAA